GAGCAAAGGGGGAAGGUGAUGUCCCGAGAGGUCCCAGGACGUCCCUCCUGCACGUCCCUCCCAGGCUCUGAGAGGUGGCGCUGGGCAGAGGAGACAGCGCCAAUGGCCCUUCCUGGUACAGAGGCCUCUCUGUGCCGCUCUGUCCCGUCCAGAUAUUUCACAGGAUCCAAGGGGAGGACGCCCCCUCGCUCCCUGCCAUGGAGAACCAUAUGGAACAAUCUGGAGAACUCAUGUAGCAGCAUUUCCAUGAGCCACGGUGACAGUGACCAGAGACCCUGGCUGUUUCCUUACUCCUGAUCUGGUGUUCUUGAUCCGGCCGGAAGGCACACCUGCCACCUCGCACAGCGUCCUCAGGGUGCAGCGGCCUGCCCACAAGCCUACAGGUGCAGCCUGCGUGCGCUCCGGGAAGCCAGGCCAGGCGCCUCACCUCCUGCGUCCGCCUGGACCGUCAGUGAACAGCGGCCAGGGGCGGCUUGGGAGCAGUGGCCCAGCUCACGAGGGUAACAGUACGGGCCUGUGAAGACUGUGGGCACUGACACCCUGAGCUGGAGUCGGGCCCGUCACCUAAUGGCCGAGGGCUGACCAGCAAGGUACUGACCUGCAAGAUGGGACGACACCUGCUUCCUAUUCGGGACACACCUACCAUGUGUCAAGUGCUGCUUUAAGACUUGGCGAUCUGGUGCGUUAACUUUUGCUGUCACGAAGCCAACACUUCACCAGGGACGACGGACAUGGGAAGACCAGCCACUUAUUCCCUUUGUGCUUCCCAUCUUUGAGACCUCGCAGCACCAUGGCCGGCACUUCAGUUCGCCUUUCCUAUCGGAUGCAGUGCUUUCAAGGUAAGCUUUACUGAAGAGAGAUGUAAAUAAGAAGAGCCUCGGGGGACCAGCAGUUAGCGUAAUGGCUAUGUCGCUGGACUCCCAUGUAGUCGACCACGGUUCGAGUC
Tupaia belangeri chinensis (Chinese tree shrew) is the source of this 946-nucleotide long non-coding RNA. RefSeq lists it as uncharacterized. NCBI's taxonomy places the organism in Eukaryota, Metazoa, Chordata, Mammalia, Scandentia, Tupaiidae. The record is from RefSeq and is a predicted model, not a curated record. The transcript has 3 exons.